Molecule: long non-coding RNA, 9538 nt
Filed under: Setaria viridis
Lineage: Eukaryota; Viridiplantae; Streptophyta; Magnoliopsida; Poales; Poaceae
Description: long non-coding RNA (SVIR_LNC007793)
Source: RNAcentral
GCUAUAAUUAGGAAGAUUGCAUGCGUUCGUUGCGAAAAAAUCCACCCGAGUUUCGCUACCCGGCAAUAGUGCAUUCGGGUGCCGAAAUGCACCCGUUUUGCAUCGUUUUUCGUGCCGGAACCGAAUGCCCAAAAACACUCCCAAACAUGUUCUAGGGUCUAAUUAGGAAGAUUGCAUGCGUUCGUUGCGAAAAAAUCCACCCGAGUUUCGCUACCCGGAAAUAGUGCAUUCGGGUGCCGAAAUGCACCCGUUUUGCAUCAUUUUUCGUGCCGGAACCGAAUGCCCAAAAACACUCCCAAACAUGUUCUAGUGCAUAUUAGGAAGAUUGCAUGCGUUCGUUGCGAAAAAAUCCACCCGAGUUUCGCUACCCGGAAAUAGUGCAUUCGGGUGCCGAAAUGCACCCGUUUUGCAUCGUUUUUCAUGCCGGAACCGAAUGCCAAAAACACUCCCAAACAUGUUCUAGUGCUAUAUUAGGAAGAUUGCAUGCGUUCGUUGCGAAAAAAUCCACCCGAGUUUCGCUACCCGGAAAUAGUGCAUUCGGGUGCCGAAAUGCACCCGUUUUGCAUCGUUUUUCGUGCCGGAACCGAAUGCCAAAAACACUCCCAAACAUGUUCUAGUGUCAUAUUAGGAAGAUUGCAUGCGUUCGUUGCGAAAAAAUCCACCCGAGUUUCGCUACCCGGCAAUAGUGCAUUCGGGUGCCGAAAUGCACCCGUUUUGCAUCAGUUUUUCGUGCCGGAACCGAAUGCCCAAAAACACUCCCAAACAUGUUCUAGUGUAUAAUUAGGAAGAUUGCAUGCGUUCGUUGCGAAAAAAUCCACCCGAGUUUCGCUACCCGGCAAUAGUGCAUUCGGGUGCCGAAAUGCACCCGUUUUGCAUCAUUUUUCGUGCCGGAACCGAAUGCCCAAAAACACUCCCAAACAUGUUCUAGUGCAUAUUUAGGAAGAUUGCAUGCGUUCGUUGCGAAAAAAUCCACCCGAGUUUCGCUACCCGGCAAUAGUGCAUUCGGGUGCCGAAAUGCACCCGUUUUGCAUCGUUUUUCGUGCCGGAACCGAAUGCCUCAAAAACACUCCCAAACAUGUUCUAGUGUAUAAUUAGGAAGAUUGCAUGCGUUCGUUGCGAAAAAAUCCACCCGAGUUUCGCUACCCGGCAAUAGUGCAUUCGGGUGCCGAAAUGCACCCGUUUUGCAUCGUUUUUCGUGCCGGAACCGAAUGCCAAAAACACUCCCAAACAUGUUCUAGUGCUAUAAUUAGGAAGAUUGCAUGCGUUCGUUGCGAAAAAAUCCACCCGAGUUUCGCUACCCGGAAUAGUGCAUUCGGGUGCCGAAAUGCACCCGUUUUGCAUCAGUUUUUCGUGCCGGAACCGAAUGCCCAAAAACACUCCCAAACAUGUUCUAGUGCUAUAUUAGGAAGAUUGCAUGCGUUCGUUGCGAAAAAAUCCACCCGAGUUUCGCUACCCGGCAAUAGUGCAUUCGGGUGCCGAAAUGCACCCGUUUUGCAUCAGUUUUUCGUGCCGGAACCGAAUGCCCAAAAACACUCCCAAACAUGUUCUAGUGCAUAUUAGGAAGAUUGCAUGCGUUCGUUGCGAAAAAAUCCACCCGAGUUUCGCUACCCGGCAAUAGUGCAUUCGGGUGCCGAAAUGCACCCGUUUUGCAUCGUUUUUCGUGCCGGAACCGAAUGCCCAAAAACACUCCCAAACAUGUUCUAGUGCAUAUUUAGGAAGAUUGCAUGCGUUCGUUGCGAAAAAAUCCACCCGAGUUUCGCUACCCGGAAAUAGUGCAUUCGGGUGCCGAAAUGCACCCGUUUUGCAUCGUUUUUCGUGCCGGAACCGAAUGCCCAAAAACACUCCCAAACAUGUUCUAGUGCAUAUUUAGGAAGAUUGCAUGCGUUCGUUGCGAAAAAAUCCACCCGAGUUUCGCUACCCGGCAAUAGUGCAUUCGGGUGCCGAAAUGCACCCGUUUUGCAUCGUUUUUCGUGCCGGAACCGAAUGCCCAAAAACACUCCCAAACAUGUUCUAGUGCAUAUUUAGGAAGAUUGCAUGCGUUCGUUGCGAAAAAAUCCACCCGAGUUUCGCUACCCGGAAAUAGUGCAUUCGGGUGCCGAAAUGCACCCGUUUUGCAUCGUUUUUCGUGCCGGAACCGAAUGCCCAAAAACACUCCCAAACAUGUUCUAGUGUAUAAUUAGGAAGAUUGCAUGCGUUCGUUGCGAAAAAAUCCACCCGAGUUUCGCUACCCGGAAAUAGUGCAUUCGGGUGCCGAAAUGCACCCGUUUUGCAUCAUUUUUCGUGCCGGAACCGAAUGCCAAAAACACUCCCAAACAUGUUCUAGUGUAUAAUUAGGAAGAUUGCAUGCGUUCGUUGCGAAAAAAUCCACCCGAGUUUCGCUACCCGGAAAUAGUGCAUUCGGGUGCCGAAAUGCACCCGUUUUGCAUCGUUUUUCGUGCCGGAACCGAAUGCCCAAAAACACUCCCAAACAUGUUCUAGUGUAUAAUUAGGAAGAUUGCAUGCGUUCGUUGCGAAAAAAUCCACCCGAGUUUCGCUACCCGGAAUAGUGCAUUCGGGUGCCGAAAUGCACCCGUUUUGCAUCGUUUUUCGUGCCGGAACCGAAUGCUCAAAAACACUCCCAAACAUGUUCUAGUGCUAUAUUAGGAAGAUUGCAUGCGUUCGUUGCGAAAAAAUCCACCCGAGUUUCGCUACCCGGCAAUAGUGCAUUCGGGUGCCGAAAUGCACCCGUUUUGCAUCAUUUUUCGUGCCGGAACCGAAUGCCCAAAAACACUCCCAAACAUGUUCUAGGUCAUAUUUAGGAAGAUUGCAUGCGUUCGUUGCGAAAAAAUCCACCCGAGUUUCGCUACCCGGCAAUAGUGCAUUCGGGUGCCGAAAUGCACCCGUUUUGCAUCAUUUUUCGUGCCGGAACCGAAUGCCCAAAAACACUCCCAAACAUGUUCUAGUGUCAUAUUUAGGAAGAUUGCAUGCGUUCGUUGCGAAAAAAUCCACCCGAGUUUCGCUACCCGGCAAUAGUGCAUUCGGGUGCCGAAAUGCACCCGUUUUGCAUCAUUUUUCGUGCCGGAACCGAAUGCCCAAAAACACUCCCAAACAUGUUCUAGUGCAUAUUUAGGAAGAUUGCAUGCGUUCGUUGCGAAAAAAUCCACCCGAGUUUCGCUACCCGGCAAUAGUGCAUUCGGGUGCCGAAAUGCACCCGUUUUGCAUCGUUUUUCGUGCCGGAACCGAAUGCCCAAAAACACUCCCAAACAUGUUCUAGUGCUAUAUUUAGGAAGAUUGCAUGCGUUCGUUGCGAAAAAAUCCACCCGAGUUUCGCUACCCGGCAAUAGUGCAUUCGGGUGCCGAAAUGCACCCGUUUUGCAUCAUUUUUCGUGCCGGAACCGAAUGCCCAAAAACACUCCCAAACAUGUUCUAGUGCAUAUUUAGGAAGAUUGCAUGCGUUCGUUGCGAAAAAAUCCACCCGAGUUUCGCUACCCGGCAAUAGUGCAUUCGGGUGCCGAAAUGCACCCGUUUUGCAUCAUUUUUCGUGCCGGAACCGAAUGCCCAAAAACACUCCCAAACAUGUUCUAGUGCUAUAUUAGGAAGAUUGCAUGCGUUCGUUGCGAAAAAAUCCACCCGAGUUUCGCUACCCGGCAAUAGUGCAUUCGGGUGCCGAAAUGCACCCGUUUUGCAUCGUUUUUCGUGCCGGAACCGAAUGCCCAAAAACACUCCCAAACAUGUUCUAGUGCUAUAUUAGGAAGAUUGCAUGCGUUCGUUGCGAAAAAAUCCACCCGAGUUUCGCUACCCGGAAAUAGUGCAUUCGGGUGCCGAAAUGCACCCGUUUUGCAUCGUUUUUCGUGCCGGAACCGAAUGCCAAAAACACUCCCAAACAUGUUCUAGUGCUAUAUUAGGAAGAUUGCAUGCGUUCGUUGCGAAAAAAUCCACCCGAGUUUCGCUACCCGGCAAUAGUGCAUUCGGGUGCCGAAAUGCACCCGUUUUGCAUCAUUUUUCGUGCCGGAACCGAAUGCCCAAAAACACUCCCAAACAUGUUCUAGUGCAUAUUAGGAAGAUUGCAUGCGUUCGUUGCGAAAAAAUCCACCCGAGUUUCGCUACCCGGCAAUAGUGCAUUCGGGUGCCGAAAUGCACCCGUUUUGCAUCGUUUUUCGUGCCGGAACCGAAUGCCCAAAAACACUCCCAAACAUGUUCUAGUGUAUAAUUAGGAAGAUUGCAUGCGUUCGUUGCGAAAAAAUCCACCCGAGUUUCGCUACCCGGAAAUAGUGCAUUCGGGUGCCGAAAUGCACCCGUUUUGCAUCAGUUUUUCGUGCCGGAACCGAAUGCCCAAAAACACUCCCAAACAUGUUCUAGUGUAUAUUAGGAAGAUUGCAUGCGUUCGUUGCGAAAAAAUCCACCCGAGUUUCGCUACCCGGAAAUAGUGCAUUCGGGUGCCGAAAUGCACCCGUUUUGCAUCAUUUUUCGUGCCGGAACCGAAUGCCCAAAAACACUCCCAAACAUGUUCUAGUGCUAUAUUAGGAAGAUUGCAUGCGUUCGUUGCGAAAAAAUCCACCCGAGUUUCGCUACCCGGCAAUAGUGCAUUCGGUGCCGAAAUGCACCCGUUUUGCAUCGUUUUUCGUGCCGGAACCGAAUGCCCAAAAACACUCCCAAACAUGUUCUAGUGCAUAUUUAGGAAGAUUGCAUGCGUUCGUUGCGAAAAAAUCCACCGAGUUUCGCUACCCGGAAAUAGUGCAUUCGGGUGCCGAAAUGCACCCGUUUUGCAUCGUUUUUCGUGCCGGAACCGAAUGCCCAAAAACACUCCCAAACAUGUUCUAGUGCAUAUUAGGAAGAUUGCAUGCGUUCGUUGCGAAAAAAUCCACCCGAGUUUCGCUACCCGGCAAUAGUGCAUUCGGGUGCCGAAAUGCACCCGUUUUGCAUCAUUUUUCGUGCCGGAACCGAAUGCCCAAAAACACUCCCAAACAUGUUCUAGGUCAUAUUAGGAAGAUUGCAUGCGUUCGUUGCGAAAAAAUCCACCCGAGUUUCGCUACCCGGCAAUAGUGCAUUCGGGUGCCGAAAUGCACCCGUUUUGCAUCGUUUUUCGUGCCGGAACCGAAUGCCCAAAAACACUCCCAAACAUGUUCUAGGGUCUAAUUAGGAAGAUUGCAUGCGUUCGUUGCGAAAAAAUCCACCCGAGUUUCGCUACCCGGCAAUAGUGCAUUCGGGUGCCGAAAUGCACCCGUUUUGCAUCAUUUUUCGUGCCGGAACCGAAUGCCCAAAAACACUCCCAAACAUGUUCUAGUGCAUAUUUAGGAAGAUUGCAUGCGUUCGUUACGAAAAAAUCCACCCGAGUUUCGCUACCCGGCAAUAGUGCAUUCGGGUGCCGAAAUGCACCCGUUUUGCAUCGUUUUUCAGUGCCGGAACCGAAUGCCCAAAAACACUCCCAAACAUGUUCUAGUGCAUAUUUAGGAAGAUUGCAUGCGUUCGUUGCGAAAAAAUCCACUCGAGUUUCGCUACCCGGAAAUAGUGCAUUCGGGUGCCGAAAUGCACCCGUUUUGCAUCGUUUUUCGUGCCGGAACCGAAUGCCAAAAAACACUCCCAAACAUGUUCUAGUGCAUAUUUAGGAAGAUUGCAUGCGUUCGUUACGAAAAAAUCCACCCGAGUUUCGCUACCCGGCAAUAGUGCAUUCGGGUGCCGAAAUGCACCCGUUUUGCAUCAUUUUUCGUGCCAGAACCAAAUGCGCAAAAACACUCCCAAACAUGUUCUAAGUGCAUAUUUAGGAAGAUUGCAUGCGUUCGUUGUGAAAAAAUCCACCCGAGUUUCGCUACCCGGCAAUAGUGCAUUCGGGUGCCGAAAUGCACCCGUUUUGCAUCAGUUUUUCGUGUCGGAACCGAAUGCCCAAAGACACUCCCAAACAUGUUCUAGUGCAUAUUUAGGAAGAUUGCAUGCGUUCGUUACGAAAAAAUCCACCCGAGUUUCGCUACCCGGCAAUAGUGCAUUAAGGUGCCGAAAUGCACCCAGUUUGCAUCGUUUUUCAUGCCGGAACCGAAUGCCCAAAAACACUCCCAAACAUGUUCUAGUGCAUAUUUAGGAAGAUUGCAUGCGUUCGUUGCGAAAAAAUCCACCCGAGUUUCGCUACCCGGAAAUAGUGCAUUCGGGUGCCGAAAUGCACCCGUUUUGCAUCGUUUUUCGUGCCGGAACCGAAUGCCAAAAACUACUCCCAAACAUGUUCUAGUGCAUAUUUAGGAAGAUUGCAUGCGUUCGUUACGAAAAAAUCCACCCGAGUUUCGCUACCCGGCAAUAGUGCAUUCGGGUGCCGAAAUGCACCCGUUUUGCAUCAUUUUUCGUGCCGGAACCGAAUGCCCAAAAACACUCCCAAACAUGUUCUAGGCAUAUUUAGGAAGAUUGCAUGCGUUCGUUGCGAAAAAAUCCACCCGAGUUUCGCUACCCGGCAAUAGUGCAUUCGGGUGCCGAAAUGCACCCGUUUUGCAUCGUUUUUCGUGCCGGAACCGAAUGCCCAAAAACACUCCCAAACAUGUUCUAGGGUCUAAUUAGGAAGAUUGCAUGCGUUCGUUGCGAAAAAAUCCACCCGAGUUUCGCUACCCGGCAAUAGUGCAUUCGGGUGCCGAAAUGCACCCGUUUUGCAUCAUUUUUCGUGCCGGAACCGAAUGCCCAAAAACACUCCCAAACAUGUUCUAGUGCAUAUUUAGGAAGAUUGCAUGCGUUCGUUGCGAAAAAAUCCACCCGAGUUUCGCUACCCGGCAAUAGUGCAUUCGGGUGCCGAAAUGCACCCGUUUUGCAUCGUUUUUCGUGCCGGAACCGAAUGCCCAAAAACACUCCCAAACAUGUUCUAGUGCAUAUUUAGGAAGAUUGCAUGCGUUCGUUGCGAAAAAAUCCACCCGAGUUUCGCUACCCGGAAAUAGUGCAUUCGGGUGCCGAAAUGCACCCGUUUUGCAUCGUUUUUCGUGCCGGAACCGAAUGCCAAAAAACACUCCCAAACAUGUUCUAGUGCAUAUUUAGGAAGAUUGCAUGCGUUCGUUGCGAAAAAAUCCACCCGAGUUUCGCUACCCGGCAAUAGUGCAUUCGGGUGCCGAAAUGCACCCGUUUUGCAUCAGUUUUUCGUGCCGGAACCGAAUGCCCAAAAACACUCCCAAACAUGUUCUAGUGCAUAUUAGGAAGAUUGCAUGCGUUCGUUGCGAAAAAAUCCACCCGAGUUUCGCUACCCGGCAAUAGUGCAUUCGGGUGCCGAAAUGCACCCGUUUUGCAUCAUUUUUCGUGCCGGAACCGAAUGCCCAAAAACACUCCCAAACAUGUUCUAGUGCAUAUUUAGGAAGAUUGCAUGCGUUCGUUGCGAAAAAAUCCACCCGAGUUUCGCUACCCGGCAAUAGUGCAUUCGGGUGCCGAAAUGCACCCGUUUUGCAUCAUUUUUCGUGCCGGAACCGAAUGCCCAAAAACACUCCCAAACAUGUUCUAGUGCAUAUUUAGGAAGAUUGCAUGCGUUCGUUGCGAAAAAAUCCACCCGAGUUUCGCUACCCGGCAAUAGUGCAUUCGGGUGCCGAAAUGCACCCGUUUUGCAUCGUUUUUCGUGCCGGAACCGAAUGCCAAAAAACACUCCCAAACAUGUUCUAGUGCAUAUUUAGGAAGAUUGCAUGCGUUCGUUAGCGAAAAAAUCCACCCGAGUUUCGCUACCCGGCAAUAGUGCAUUCGGGUGCCGAAAUGCACCCGUUUUGCAUCGUUUUUCGUGCCGGAACCGAAUGCCCAAAAACACUCCCAAACAUGUUCUAGUGUCUAAUUAGGAAGAUUGCAUGCGUUCGUUGCGAAAAAAUCCACCCGAGUUUCGCUACCCGGCAAUAGUGCAUUCGGGUGCCGAAAUGCACCCGUUUUGCAUCAUUUUUCGUGCCGGAACCGAAUGCCCAAAAACACUCCCAAACAUGUUCUAGUGCAUAUUUAGGAAGAUUGCAUGCGUUCGUUACGAAAAAAUCCACCCGAGUUUCGCUACCCGGCAAUAGUGCAUUCGGGUGCCGAAAUGCACCCAGUUUUGCAUCGUUUUUCAGUGCCGGAACCGAAUGCCCAAAAACACUCCCAAACAUGUUCUAGUGCAUAUUUAGGAAGAUUGCAUGCGUUCGUUGCGAAAAAAUCCACCCGAGUUUCGCUACCCGGAAAUAGUGCAUUCGGGUGCCGAAAUGCACCCGUUUUGCAUCGUUUUUCGUGCCGGAACCGAAUGCCAAAAAACACUCCCAAACAUGUUCUAGUGCAUAUUUAGGAAGAUUGCAUGCGUUCGUUGCGAAAAAAUCCACCCGAGUUUCGCUACCCGGCAAUAGUGCAUUCGGGUGCCGAAAUGCACCCGUUUUGCAUCAUUUUUCGUGCCGAACCGAAUGCCCAAAAACACUCCCAAACAUGUUCUAGUGCAUAUUUAGGAAGAUUGCAUGCGUUCGUUGCGAAAAAAUCCACCCGAGUUUCGCUACCCGGCAAUAGUGCAUUCGGGUGCCGAAAUGCACCCGUUUUGCAUCGUUUUUCGUGCCGGAACCGAAUGCCCAAAAACACUCCCAAACAUGUUCUAGUGCAUAUUUAGGAAGAUUGCAUGCGUUCGUUGCGAAAAAAUCCACCCGAGUUUCGCUACCCGGCAAUAGUGCAUUCGGGUGCCGAAAUGCACCCGUUUUGCAUCAUUUUUCGUGCCGGAACCGAAUGCCCAAAAACACUCCCAAACAUGUUCUAGUGCAUAUUUAGGAAGAUUGCAUGCGUUCGUUGCGAAAAAAUCCACCCGAGUUUCGCUACCCGGCAAUAGUGCAUUCGGGUGCCGAAAUGCACCCGUUUUGCAUCGUUUUUCGUGCCGGAACCGAAUGCCAAAAAACACUCCCAAACAUGUUCUAGUGCAUAUUUAGGAAGAUUGCAUGCGUUCGUUGCGAAAAAAUCCACCCGAGUUUCGCUACCCGGCAAUAGUGCAUUCGGGUGCCGAAAUGCACCCGUUUUGCAUCAUUUUUCGUGCCAGGAACCAAAUGCCCAAAAACACUCCCAAACAUGUUCUAGGCAUAUUUAGGAAGAUUGCAUGCGUUCGUUGCGAAAAAAUCCACCCGAGUUUCGCUACCCGGCAAUAGUGCAUUCGGGUGCCGAAAUGCACCCGUUUUGCAUCAUUUUUCGUGCCGGAACCGAAUGCCCAAAAACACUCCCAAACAUGUUCUAGUGCAUAUUUAGGAAGAUUGCAUGCGUUCGUUGCGAAAAAAUCCACCCGAGUUUCGCUACCCGGCAAUAGUGCAUUAAGGUGCCGAAAUGCACCCGUUUUGCAUCGUUUUUCGUGCCGGAACCGAAUGCCCAAAAACACUCCCAAACAUGUUCUAGUGCAUAUUUAGGAAGAUUGCAUGCGUUCGUUGCGAAAAAAUCCACCCGAGUUUCGCUACCCGGAAAUAGUGCAUUCGGGUGCCGAAAUGCACCCGUUUUGCAUCGUUUUUCGUGCCGGAACCGAAUGCCAAAAACACUCCCAAACAUGUUCUAGUGCAUAUUUAGGAAGAUUGCAUGCGUUCGUUGCGAAAAAAUCCACCCGAGUUUCGCUACCCGGCAAUAGUGCAUUCGGGUGCCGAAA